Misgurnus anguillicaudatus (oriental weatherfish) is the source of this 1264-nucleotide non-coding RNA. The record is from RefSeq and is a predicted model, not a curated record. NCBI's taxonomy places the organism in Eukaryota, Metazoa, Chordata, Actinopteri, Cypriniformes, Cobitidae.
AUUUCUGACGGUAUGUCAUGCUUUCAUGUGAUCCCUUUAAAAUAAGACAAUAUAUUUAAAUUUAGUUUCUGCAAGAAAGGAUUUAAUCCAUAAGGACUUUUCAACUAUUUUAUGGGUUUGUUUAUUGCAGCAGUAUUAUAAUUUUCAGUCAGUAGUACAUUUUUCAUACAUUUUUAUCAAAAAUUACCGCUUUCUCUUUAACUUUGAUCGAUUUGAUCCACGCUCGACCUCUAGGGCUGCUCAAGAAUAGCGUGCACGCGCAAUUAUCUUGACUAGGGAAAUCUGGAUCAUAUUAGUUGGAUUGCGUAAGCUUCAUUUGCCUUUUUUGAAACCGCUUUAGCCUCGCCUCAUUUGUUAGGUUAAUUCAAGUCGAGUUUGUAACUUUAAUCCUCGCUUUUCCAAGCGAGUUUUAUGAAAUAGCCCUCAGUUGUGUGAUUGCAGUACCAGUUUUAGCCACAAGUUUUGUGAUUGCAAUACCAGUUUUGGCCACAAUCCUACAUACUGUUCCUUUACUGACUGUCUGUCUGUUCUCAACCAAACGGCCAUUCAAGACCUUAAGGUAAUGUUACCACAUUUAUUCAUUCAUUCAUUAUGUUUUGAGUACACCACAGUUGUAGACAAUUUAUUCAUAUUUGUGUGUUUUCUCACUGUUUAGCACAAACGUUUCACGUGCAAGUUUGAAUCUCUCUCAGUAAGGACUAACUGACUGGCUUUCUGUUCUCAACCAAACGGUCAUUCCUACUUGUAAAAACCUUUUAAAGGUUAAUUAUGGAUCUUUACCAUUGAGGAGACUGGCUGACUGACUGUUCUCAACCAACCAUCAUUAACUAACAAAAACUUUAAAGGUAAGUAUGAACGCGUCUAGAGUUUUCGAUCUUUACCAUUGAGGAGGCUGACUGACUAUCAUCUAUUACUACAAGUGGACCUAUUCAUUUACUCAUUAUGCUGUGAGUACACCACAGUUUUAUCAGUAAAACAAUAAUGUUUGUUGUUUUCACUGCUUGGCAUAGACAAAUGUGACCCUGUGUAAUUUGGAAAUGUCUUGGGAAAAGUGUACAUCUUAAUGUUUAAAUGUCGUUUGAAUUAAGGAACAGUACACUGAUUUAUUAAAAGUGUACAAUACAAAUCUAAGUAUAAUAGUGUAAAAUAGUGUAAAUCUAAUAUUAGUUUUAAUGUGAAUUUGGAUUGAACCGCACACUUUUGUUUUAUGUCUAAAACAAUGUUUGUAAAAUAAAUGAUUGUUCAAUAAACUGUAAUAAUUUUA